Molecule: ribosomal RNA, 465 nt
Filed under: uncultured bacterium
Lineage: Bacteria
Description: bacterial SSU rRNA
Rfam family: Bacterial small subunit ribosomal RNA
Source: RNAcentral
CCUACGGGUGGCUGCAGUGGGGAAUAUUGCACAAUGGGGGGAACCCUGAUGCAGCCAUGCCGCGUGUGUGAAGAAGGCCUUCGGGUUGUAAAGCACUCUCAGUAGGGAGGAAAGGUUAGUAGUUAAUACCUGCUAGCUGUGACGUUACCUACAGAAGAAGGACCGGCUAACUCCGUGCCAGCAGCCGCGGUAAUACGGAGGGUCCAAGCGUUAAUCGGAAUUACUGGGCGUAAAGCGUGCGCAGGCGGUUUGUUAAGCGAGAUGUGAAAGCCCCGGGCUCAACCUGGGAAUUGCAUUUCGAACUGGCAAACUAGAGUCUUGUAGAGGGGGGUAGAAUUCCAGGUGUAGCGGUGAAAUGCGUAGAGAUCUGGAGGAAUACCGGUGGCGAAGGCGGCCCCCUGGACAAAGACUGACGCUCAGGCACGAAAGCGUGGGGAGCAAACAGGAUUAGAUACCCUUGUAGUC